AUUGAACGCUGGCGGCAUGCUUUACACAUGCAAGUCGAACGGUAGACCCUUUCGGGGGUUGAGAGUGGCGAACGGGUGAGUAAUGCAUCGGAACGUGCCUAGUCGUGGGGGAUAACGUAGCGAAAGUUACGCUAAUACCGCAUACGCACUGAGGUGGAAAGCGGGGGGACCGUAAGGCCUCGCGCGAUUGGAGCGGCCGAUGUCGGAUUAGCUAGUUGGUGAGGUAAAGGCUCACCAAGGCGACGAUCCGUAGCGGGUCUGAGAGGAUGAUCCGCCACACUGGGACUGAGACACGGCCCAGACUCCUACGGGAGGCAGCAGUGGGGAAUUUUGGACAAUGGGCGCAAGCCGUGAUCCAGCCAUGCCGCGUGCGGGAAGAAGGCCUCGGUUGUAA
This 394-nucleotide ribosomal RNA is filed under the name uncultured bacterium. RNAcentral's name for it is "bacterial SSU rRNA". It matches the Rfam family "Bacterial small subunit ribosomal RNA", at positions 29 to 428 of the family's 1533-position model. The record is from RNAcentral.